Molecule: long non-coding RNA, 386 nt
Organism: Haliotis rufescens (red abalone)
Lineage: Eukaryota; Metazoa; Mollusca; Gastropoda; Lepetellida; Haliotidae
Exons: 3
Source: RefSeq, a predicted model, not a curated record
ACAUUAUCUUUGGAUAAAAAAAAUAUUCAAGAUGAACACCUUCCUCGGCCUCUUUGUGACGCUCCUCCUGACCGUAUGCAUGAUGUCGUUCUCCGACGCAUGCUGUUGUCAUCACGGCAGCCACAGCAGCCACCACAGCAGGCACGGCAUCCCCGUCCCCAUCCCCUACCCCAUGGGCGGUAGCGGCGGUGGCAGCCACUCCGCCAACAUCCCCCUCAUCAUCACAACAACAGGAAAAUAGACACAGGUGUUGCCCCUCCUGCUGGCGGGAGAGAGUCUGCUACAUCAACACGAGUCGUCGACGAGAUGCUACAUAUUCCAAACACCAAGGCCUGAUGUUUACUGCUGAUGUGCUAUUAAACAAACAUAUAUACAUAUUCAUCUUU